UUGACGGCGCCGAAUGCAGAAGUCUUCUCUUUACCCACAGAAAAGGUGCAGCAUGGGCAGUGACAGCGCAGGCUUCCUCAUUGCUGCCACGUGCAUCUGCCCUGACCCAGAGAUAGCAUAUGGAGUCUGUUCUCUCUGUGGCCAUCAUGGGCUUGUCUGCA
RNAcentral lists this small RNA (161 nucleotides) under Chelonoidis abingdonii (Abingdon island giant tortoise). RNAcentral's name for it is "TUC338 (ENSCABG00000010940.1)". The record is from RNAcentral. Lineage: Eukaryota; Metazoa; Chordata; Testudines; Testudinidae.